GUCUCGAGAGAGGGGUAAGAAGGGAUUAACGUGCACGUAGCAUUCGGUGGAACACCCCCACUGUUGCCCCCAAGUAUCAAGCACUGCGAGAAUAUCUCUCUCGUUUUCUCGUCAGACUCGAUCCUCAUUGCAGUUGGAACAAACCUACGUGAGCAUGCGAAUAAUGGAGCUCUCGCCGCAAUGCAGAAUUUCGGUUGUACGUCACCAAACUGACAAUACGAACGUGGGGGAUCGAUCGGAAUUUUCAGGAUAAUAUAAAAUAUUGGAUACACUGGAUCCUUGCAAACAGCCAAGGGCAGUCCAUUAAAUUGGCUAUCCUGACCACCCCUCGAGAAGGACAUCCUGCUACAGCUCUCUUCUUUCUCGUUUGGCAUCAAUACUUUUACCGCAGUUCGGGAGCACGUGAAAACAUUGACCGGAGAUAGGGAAGAGCUGAAAAGCGAAAACGAGGCGAUGAUUGUUGUAAUCAACGUGGAGAGAACCGCGGUCGUCGCUGCUCUACAUAAAGAAUUGUCAAAGCCUGUGGGAACGAAAAAACAGAGAACAACAAAAAACAUUCUUUUACGAUGCAUUCCGACAGUUCCAAGUUAUCGAUGUUAUCGCAGGGAUGCGCUCCACCCAGUACUAUAAAAAAAUGCAGAGACCAACGGUAGCAGUGAGAGACUCAAUGGGUUCCGAGAUUGAAAGUUCCGCUUCCUUGCUACACGGCCGAACGAACCACCCUUGUCACAAGGGGCGAUGCUCGUUCACGUUCAAUUUUCAACAGCGUCCAAACUUUGGAUACGAGGCUGUUGCGGCAAUACAUUUUAUCAAACAUGGAAUAAAAGGAAAAGAAGAAGUGGAAAAGGCAGUGGUGAUGAGUACCGAAAAUAAGGUUUCAGACGAAUGCGGAAAAGGCGGUGCGUUAAUUGCGGCAAACCUGUCGACUCGUUGGACUCCUCGCAACUUCUCGCUCCGGGCUGUACGGAGGAGUUCUCGGGAAAGGGUGUUUUUUAAUUAAAUUCCCUGUGGUUACAAAAGAUCGUCGUCAGGAGAGCUCAAAAAAAGAACUAUUGAGCAUGAACCUCGACUUUCGUUCGAAGAUAGAGAACGGAAACGGUGGAAUUCGAUGUCUCGUAGCUCAUCACGAUCAAUUUGAAAAGCGUUUCGACUUCCAUCCAGAAGAAGAAAAAAAAUGAUUGUUUAUCUAACAGAACUGAUACUCCGAUUCAAUGAAUAUUGAGCAAGAUUUUCAAACUCAUCGAUCGAAAUUGUUUCUGUUGUAUCCCAUGUUGUAAAAUGGAAAAAAAGUUAUUUCAUCGCAGCAUCCAUUUUUUCCUGUUCAGUAUCAAAAAUUUUCCAACAGCAAAAUCAAUCGACUAAAUUCGCACUACGGUUUUCGCACACCAAAAUUCGAGCCGUGACGAAAACCUCGUAUGGAAAUUCACACAUAGUGAAAUGUGAAUCCGAUCACCCCUCAAAAAUGUUGUGUCAACAGCAGAAGAAAUAAAAAAACAUCGAACGUUAUGGGAAAUAUA
This 1517-nucleotide unclassified non-coding RNA is filed under the name Venturia canescens. RNAcentral describes it as "uncharacterized LOC122406480, transcript variant X6". The record is from RNAcentral. Lineage: Eukaryota; Metazoa; Arthropoda; Insecta; Hymenoptera; Ichneumonidae.